RNAcentral lists this ribosomal RNA (392 nucleotides) under uncultured bacterium. Its description in RNAcentral is "partial 16S ribosomal RNA". It matches the Rfam family "Bacterial small subunit ribosomal RNA", at positions 523 to 917 of the family's 1533-position model. The record is from RNAcentral.
AUACGGAGGAUGCAAGCGUUAUCCGGAUUUAUUGGGUUUAAAGGGUGCGUAGGCGGUUUGCUAAGCGGGAGGUGAAAUGCCGGCGCUCAACGUCGGAAGUGCCUCCCGAACUGGUGGACUGGAAUGACUCUGCCGUGGGAGGAAUGUGUAGUGUAGCGGUGAAAUGCUUAGAGAUUACACAGAACACCGAUUGCGAAGGCAUCUCACGAAGGGUUGAUUGACGCUGAGGCACGAAAGCGUGGGGAUCAAACAGGAUUAGAUACCCUGGUAGUCUACGCAGUAAACGAUGAUGGCUAACCGCUGGUUUAUUCGGAUCAGUGGCCAAGCGAAAGCGAUAAGCCAUCCACCUGGGGAGUACGACCGCAAGGUUGAAACUCAAAUGAAUUGACGGG